RNAcentral lists this long non-coding RNA (208 nucleotides) under Elaeis guineensis (African oil palm). RNAcentral's name for it is "long non-coding RNA (EGUI_LNC040855)". The record is from RNAcentral. Lineage: Eukaryota; Viridiplantae; Streptophyta; Magnoliopsida; Arecales; Arecaceae.
CAACUUGCAAGAAUCAAAAAUUUUACAUAAAACUUAAUAAUAAUGUAGAAAUAUAUUUCAAAUACUCAAAUUAUAUUACUAAUCCAAUUAUAUUAUAAUAUUUUUUAAAUAAAAAUAAAAUACAUCAAAAAAAUUUUAAAUCAAAAUCUUUCUCGUCAAGCAUCUCGUCAUCACUAGGAGGGGCUGGAGCAUGAGCUAGAGGGGCUAG